GAGUGAGCGUUGGCGGCGUGCCUAAUACAUGCAAGUCGAACGAAGACUGUAGUAAUACUGUCUUAGUGGCGAACGGGUGAGUAACGCGUGGGUGACCUGCCCCGAAGCGAGGGAUAACAGUUCGAAAGAACUGCUAAUACCUCAUGUGAUCACCGGUUUUAGAAUCUGGUGAUUAAAGGUGAAAAUCACUUCGGGAGGGGCCUGCGUCCCAUCAGCUAGUUGGUAGGGUAAUGGCUUACCAAGGCGAUGACGGGUAGGGGACCUGAGAGGGUGGCCCCCCACAAUGGAACUGAAACACGGUCCAUACACCUACGGGUGGCAGCAGUAGGGAAUAUUGCAAAUGGGCGAAAGCCUGAUGUAGCAACGCCGCGUGUGCGAUGAAGGUCUUCGGAUUGUAAAGCACUUUUUGGAGGGAUGAGGAAGGACAGUACCUCCAGAAUAAGCCUCGGCUAACUACGUG
This 460-nucleotide ribosomal RNA is filed under the name uncultured bacterium. Its description in RNAcentral is "bacterial SSU rRNA". It matches the Rfam family "Bacterial small subunit ribosomal RNA", at positions 27 to 507 of the family's 1533-position model. The record is from RNAcentral.